Molecule: RNA transcript, 401 nt
Organism: Bradysia coprophila
Lineage: Eukaryota; Metazoa; Arthropoda; Insecta; Diptera; Sciaridae
Gene name: saccharopine dehydrogenase-like oxidoreductase
Source: RefSeq, a predicted model, not a curated record
UUUAUCGAUCACCCUACACCAGUUAUCCGGUUGGUGGUAAGAAUACAUAUUGCUUACCAUUUUCCGGUGCGGACAGGUCAGUCGUGAUGAGGUCUCAGCGAUUGAUGUUCGAAGAGGAAAAAAAAGGCUCCAGUUCAAAUACGAAACUACUUCACCGUAAAAUCUUUUUUGGAAGUUCUAGUGUUAUUCAUAACAGCAGGACUGUUCGCACUACUGACUAGAUUCGCAUUCGGCAUACAAUUAUUGCUAACGUAUCCAAAAUUAUUUUCCUUUGCAGCCGCUAGCCAUGAAGGACCUCCUGAGCAGAAAAUGAACAACACUCAAUUCAUAUUUCUAUUCAAAGGCAACGGUUGGAAUGAAAGAUCAUCUGAUUCUAAAGUCAUACCGAAUGGUGAACCGGU